UAAUAUGAAACAAAACAAGUAACAUUUUAUAUGAUUUUAGUAAACGAAAAGUUAUUUGGCUCUUCAAAUAGUAUAAAGUGGUAUGGAAGGAGUUCCUAGAAAUUGAGACCUUUUCCUUUCCUCUUGUUUUCUUAGUUAAAUAACUACUCAUUUUAAAACUAUGCAUUGUAUUAAAAAGAGUGUUACUAUUACAUAUAAACUUUAUAAUAAUUAUUGUUAGCUAGACUACACGUACACUAAAAGUGGUACCAACACAUAAAAUAAGUAAACUCAGAGAAAAAGGUUAUCAUACUAAGGAUGUUAACGAGGAUAUAACUCAGAUAUGGAUGCCUCAUUUCGUGAUGAACCAAUAGAUUUACUUUUGGCUAGUUCACUAGAGUCUGUCAUUCUUGUGUUGUAUUCUUUAAUAAGCGACGUCUCUGCGGUAAUAUUACUGUGCAUAUAGAAUGCUGGCCCUGAAGGCAUUGGAAGACUCAACGAAAAGCUACUGAGCAUGAGAACAACAGCUGCCAUGGUUGGUCUAUCAGCCACACUUUCUUGAACACACAAUAAAGCUAUGUGAAUGCUUCUCAUUAUGUCACGAAUCAGUCCUGUGCUUUCCUUCAGCAUUGGAUCUACAAAAUCUAUAGUUGUUCCAUUACGCCAGCUUAACCAAGCCUGUAUGUGAAUGUGAUAGUUCAAUUAUCAGAAUAAGAUGAAAUUCUCUGACCAUUUCACAAAAUUAAUACUUGAUUGAUUGGCCAGGUUACUUACAAAACUCAAAAGGUCUUCCACCGAUUCUCCAUUUCUGAAACAAGUGUUUUUUUGGCCACUUAAAAUUUCUAAGACUAGUACUCCAAAGCUAAAAACAUCUGACUUUACGGAAAAUUGCCCGUGCAUUGCAUACUCUGGUGCCAUAUAUCCACUGUGAAACAAAAACAACAAUUACGUAACAUUCCGCAACUUAUAUAACAUUGCAUAUUUAGUAGUCCAAACAGUGGGAUCAGCAAAACUAAAUAGCUGUUAAAACAGGGAACUACUUGAUGUUAAAAGUCAGAACUACAUGUUUCAUUAAUGAUCUGGGACAUUUUCUCAAGGAAGUCGAAAGCACAAAUUGGGUUGUUAUGUCUUACUGCAAUGUGAAGACAACAUCUUAGACCACUGAUCUAUUCUUGGCUGAGCAAAUAACAAGUUUUGAUGAGUUAAGACCAAUAUCUUGUAUUUUGCUACCGCGAGAUCAUAUCUGAUAACCUCUUUGAACAAUGAGAGUUCAUAUGCAGAAAAGAAGAAGAUAUUUUUGUUCUAAACAAAAUCAAAUUUAGCUUAUUCAUUUCCAGAACUCUGUUUUGGCCGAAGAUCCUGAACUUCAUUUUAAUCAUUAGAGAUUGCAACUUUGGUAGUGACCAAAUUGAGAACAAAACUCUAGGUAUAUAACCAUCAUCUUGAAUAAUACUGAGUUUGUACACCACGAAAGUCCUAGUUCAACAAAAUUGAGGUAAGCAUUCCUAAAGAUAGUACAAUGAUGAGCAAAAUUCAUAUUGAAAAUUCUAAUAACAAUUCAAAGAAAGAUUUUCUUUUGUCUCGAGGCAGCUUUUAUUCUAGCUAAGUUGUUAAAUAAUCCUUCCUAGCAAAAUGCUAAUAACAGUCUAUCCAACGAGAGAGGUAAAACUUACUAGGUCCCAACAAUUCUGUUUGUGCUGCCUUGAGUUUCAUCUAAUUCAAAUAGCCUUGCCAUGCCAAAAUCUGAGAUUUUAGGAUUCAUUUCUGUAUCUAGUAGAACAUUACUAGCUUUGAGAUCACGGUGAAUGAUCCGAAGCCUAGAAUCCUCAUGAAGAUAAAGAAUUCCCUUAGCAAUGCCUCCUAUUAUUUUGGAUCGCCUUUCCCAAUCCAAUUGCCUACGUUUAACUGAAUCUGCGAACAAGAUGAAGAAUAUGAAAAUAAAAUAAAAUUCUAAGUCACUUAAAAUGUUACUACAGGCAACUGCUCAUUAUAAGUGCAAUUAGUUCUAUGGUAUAUAAGGCAGACAACCAGACAAGAUAUCGAAUUACAUUGAUAGAAUAACUUUUGUUAGGGGUGUACAUGGUCGGGUUGGUUCGGGUUUUUUAAAUAUCAAACCAAAUCAUUUGUGUCGGAUUUUUGAAUUUAUAAACCAAACCAAACCAAUAAAACUCGGGCUUUUCAACCUCAGAUUUUUUCAGAUUUUUUUGGGUUUUUUGGAUUUUCGGGUUUUUCUAGUAAAGUAUUCAUACAAACAUAUAAUUUACUUGUACUUCAAAUAUUUCUUUAGUCCUACCAAAAUACAACUAUCUAAGGUGUUUCUUAAGAAAAUAACACAAAAUAUGAUAUGAUUAAUGACAUUAAAAUAUCCAACAAAAAAAUAAUAAUGAAAUCGCGUAAAACAAAUAUUGCAAAUUAAUAAGUAAUAAUGAAAAUAAUCAUAAUUUAAAAGUACUAAAUCAUGCUAAAAUAAGUUUAAUAAGUAUUAGUUACAUGACUAAGUAUUAAAGGAAAUUAAAAAUUAGAUUAUGUACUUUAAUUGUCUAAACCUUUGUAAAACUAAAGAACAAAUAUUCAAUAUUAUUGUCAUUCUUAGUGUUGAAUUGAUUUUCUUUUUGCAUUAGUAUUAAUUCGAUUUUGAUUUAAACUUUAUUAUAAUUACCAACAUCUAUGAACUAUAAUCUUUAUGAACUAUUAAGAAUUCUAAGUUUCAAACAUGAAAUAAUAUAUUAAAAGAUAAAAACUAUGAAAAAAGUAUAACAAAAUAUUUAAAAAUUAUAUCAAAGUAAAUAUUUUUACGUAUAAAAUAAAAUUUUAAAAUUAAUAUAUAUAAUGUCGGGUUGGUUUUUUUUUAGUUAAAACCAAACCAACCCAAAUAUAGUCGGAUUUUUUAUUUCAAUACCAAAUCAAGUCAAACCAAACCACUAGUCGGAUUUUUUUUUCGAUUUGACUCGUUUUACAGUUUGGUUCGGUUUUCGAUUCAAUUUUGUACACCCCUACUUUUGUAUAUAAGUUAAAUUCAUAACUUAUUGAUGCUCAAGCUCAAUAUUGAUAAAAAGUCAAGCAGUACAUACCAAAUAAGAAGUGGUCAAGACUUGCGUUGGGAACAAACUCAUAGACAAGAAGUCGCUCUGUUCCGUCUAGGCAAAAUCCCAGCAACCUAACCAAAUUCCUGUGUUGAAGCCUGGCAACCAACAAGACCUCAUUUUUGAAUUCUAGAUCACCUUGGCCUGAAUCUGCUGAUAACCUUUUCACUGCUACUUCUUGUCCAUUUUGAAGCUUACCCUAAAAUAUAAAUGAAAACAAAUUGAAAAAAUAUGAACUAAAGCAAUGAAAUUAUAACAAGUACUCAUAUUCAGUGGAAAGAAUAUUUGUACAAUAGAAGUUAAAAUCAUGCUACAAUAUGUAAGUUUAAUUACCUUGUACACAGGACCAAAUCCGCCUUCUCCGAGCUUAUUAGCAUCUGAGAAGUCAUCUGUUGCUGCUCUAAUUGCCGAAAAUCAUAUUGAAAAGAUUCUGCAAUACUAGUAUCAUCUACAGAUGUACCUUCACGAACAUAGUAGUAAUAGCUUACAACAAAUUAGUGAAACAUGGUCUUAAUAAUUCAACUUUCCUGAAUUAUUGUUUGUUUAUAGUUUACGCUUACUCUGAAUUUCGUUCACCAGCUUCCUCUUGCGCCUCCUUAUCAUGAUGACAGCAAUACAAAUCAUAAGAAUAACAAUUGUAACAGUUGACACAACGAUAAUGAUAAUUGUUCGUGUUGUUUUAUCAUCCUUCCCUGUUGGAGGUGUUUUAUUUUCCGUCCCUGUUGGAACUGUUUUAUUAUCAUUUCCUACAAAAAAAAAAAAAAAAAGUUUCAAGUUAGUACAAUAUCUUCUCAUUCCCAAUUCACUUGUCUUACUUUGCUUUUAAGAAUAACUAAGAAACUUUGCGUAUUACCUAUUGAAUAUCACAAAUACAAUUGGUCCUAUAAUAUAGUAUGUUCUUCCAGCCUUAACUCAUGUCAAAGACUUGUGGUUGUGUUGAAUUGUAUGAUCUAUCUCAUCUAAAGUCUUAAGUUGUUAUACAUAGUACACUUGUCUUUCGCCCCAUGAAUUGGUUAUUCCUAAACGAGUCAUGAAGGGUAUAACGAAUAUACCUUGUCUCCACAUUGGAUCAAGAACAGGAUCUGACUUGUUUGGCUUUGUGCCUAGACAGUUUGCAUUUCGUAAAACUAAAAAAGACUAGGACACCCCCUUCUUUUGAUUUACGUUCCAUCAGUCUCAUAGAAUGGGGUAGGUAGGAGAUAAUCAGUGAUCGGAAGGCGUUCAUUUCAAUCUCUAUAAACAGUGACAAUUUCUCAAUCUAUUUGAUUGAAUUGAUAGAUACGAAACCUCCCCAUUCUUAGGAUUUUAUCAAUCAGAUGAAAAAAAAAAAAAGAUUUAUACUUGACGUCUUCAACACGCCACCUCAAGUGCGAGCCUGAUUCUCUUUUAUGAGUCAAGCAAACAGUAAAUCUUCUUGAUAGAUGGUGACAAAGAGAUUUGAAUGAAGAACCAUAUUGAAUUGUGUUACUAUAUAUCUCAUCUAAAAACUUAAAACUAUUUGAUUUUUAUUUAAUUAAUUAUGUCUUCAACAGUCUCAAUCAAAAUUGGAUAUUGAUAAAAUUGGGAUUAGCAAAAGGAACAAUAAAAACUGUGUUCACCUGCAGGUGGCGGAGCUUCCAACGGCACAUCCACGAAGAAACGGGAAAUUUCAUAACGGAAGUUGCACCUAAUCCCUAUGAUUCUUCCACCGGUCUUUCCCAGGCAGGGACAUUGAGGCAAGGUUCCAUAAGCGUCAGUUAAGCAAUUGAAGCAACUCUGACGAGAUAAAUCAGGAGUACACUGCACAAGUGCAUAUAUAGACUGAGAAUCUGGACCUGUCGCAUUACCACUAGCAUAUUUUUGAAGAGGACCACCCUGUGCAGCACGGUCUCGUAAAUUUUCCAAUAAUUUUCUUAGCUCCUGGUUAAAUUCCUCGGGUUUUGAAGCAUUCGCAGGAUUCCAAAGAAAUAAUUGAAUAGACAACGAUGGAGUAUCUAUAAUGGAUUGAUUCGAAUACUGUAACAUACAUUCAUCAUAGCCACCGAAAACUUCUUUUUGGUUAGGACAUAACUGUGCAAUCUUUUGAACAGCAUUAUCAACACAAACGCGACAAUCAUCUAGCUCCACAUCUCCUCUACAUAACACAAUAACGCUGGCUCUAUCAGAGUUUUGGCCAAUAGAAGCAUUGUAGAAACCGUAGUUAUCUAUUUUUGAGGAAAGGGAAGUGAGGAGUGUGUUUAGAUUGUUCUUGUAGGUACUAUUCUCAGUAUAGUUACCAUUCUUACCACAUAUACCGAAUCGUAAAUCAGGCAGCUGCGCUACAAUAUUGAGAACAUGUAAAUGCAAAAAUAGAAAGAAUAACCACUUUUGAAUAGCCAUGGCUAUGUCUGUUUAAGUUACAAGCAAGUUUUGAUAUUAGUGCAGAAUAUGUAAAAUAGAACCUAGAGCAGGAAGAGCUUGUAAAAAGAGUUGGAGAUAGCGUAUUGACCGGGGUGUAGCGAACUUCAUUUGUCUUGGCAGUACAAUUUCUGACAUAUUAGUUAAGCAAGAAAAGGACAUUGAUAUUUGAAGGUUAGCUGCAAAACUAACACUCGGUUGGAUUGGAUUCAAAUUUUAAAAGAAAAAAGAGCUUUUAAAAUUAUUAAUAAUCUUAAAUAUGCAGUAACAUUUAUCUUAUAUAAUAAUAAAUGUAUGGUUGUUAAAGUAUAAAAUGAAAUUAUUUUUAGAUACUCCCUCUGAGCAGUUUUAAUUGUUAUUUUGCGCUUUUCAAAAGUCAUUUUCAUUAUUUUUUAAAGUUAAAUUAAAUUACAUUAAUUCAAUAUUUUAAAUAAAAAAUUUAGAUAUUCAAAAACUAUACAAAUAAUACUAUAAAUUGCAACUUUUUGUAUAUCAAUAUAAUAAAAAUAUAUCAUAAAAUGUUAAUCAAAACUCUUAUCGUUUGACUCUAAAAAAAACCAUGAUAUUUAAAAAUGGACUGAGGGAGGGAGUACAAAAUAUAAGAAAAUAUCAAAUUUCUUUUUGAAAAACUAAUUGAUGUAGUUCUUUUGAAAUAAUGUCACAUGGAAUUAAUAAGGAAUAGUACAAACUUUUGACUUGGUCUAUAUCUUUUGGGUUGAAUAAUUGACUUUUAAGGGUGCAUUUGUGAAUAUUUUUGAAAUAUAUCUUUUCUAGAGAAAUAAUUCGGAGGAAAAUGACGUUUCUUAUAAAUGAAAAAUAUGCUUUCUAGAGAAAUAAUUUGGAGGAAAAUAACUUUUCUUAUAAGGAAAAAAAAAUAAUGAUGAAGAAGGUUAUAUUCACUUUCCUAAUGUGAUGAAGAAGCUUAUAUUCAUUUUUCGGAGCCGAGAGGAUAAUAUUUUUCCUCUAAAAAUAUAAAUGGUAAAUCAAUUUAUUUUAAUUAACAAAGCAAAAUUGCUACUGAGGGAACAAUAUCUUUUAACGUCGUGCACACCGUUAAAAACAUCAUUUAAAAUCGUUGCUGGCCCGAUUUUGUCCAAAAAAAAACAUUUAAAAUCAAAAUGGCUGCAGGAAUUUUUUUUAAAAGUAAAAUCAUUGCCUCAGCAGCGUUAUUCUAAAAAAAUAAAAAGAUUUCCUCUAAAAUUGCUACGCAGCGUUUUCUUAAAAAUAAAAUAAAAUUUAUAGCAAUUUUAAUUUAAAAACUGAAAUCGCUGCAAUGGCAGCAAUUUUCCGAUUUUUUUUUUUAAAAUUAUCGCUGCUUUGGCAGCAAUUUUCCUUAAUGUUUUUUUUUUAAAAAAAAAUGAAUAAUGCUGCUGAGACAGCGAUUUACAAUAAAAAAAACUAAGGUCAUGCACGACAUUAAAAGAUAUCGCACCCUAGGUAGCGAUUUUGUCGUUUUAGUUUUUUAAAAAAAAUUGAUAUACCAUUUAUGUUUUUUGAGGGGAAAAAAUUACCCUUUUAACUCCGGACUCGAUUUUAUUAGGCCAAACCACUUUUGGGCCUAGUCUUGUAUAACUCUGUUUGAAUUUUAAUAAUAGCAACUUUCACAUAUAGCAAACACAAAAAUCAUAUUUGUAUGUUAUAGCUAUAGUUUGCAUAAUUGCGCUCUAUAUCAAACAUGCUAUGACUAUUUCACUAUACAUAUAUACAAAAGAAGCUAGGUUAUGUUGAUAUAUAUAUAUAUAUAUAUACACACACAAAAGAAGCAAUUGUAUAAUUCGCUGACUCCUAUUAAGAUUUGUAUAAUUUCGUUGGCAGCCUCUCAAUUCAAUUUUAUGUGUUUGUACAUUUGUAUACAAUUUGAAUUUUUAUACAAUUGAAUCGAAAUAAAACAUUUGUAUAUCAAAUAUCGCACUCUCUCUCUCACAUUAUAUAAACAUAAAUUAUACAUUGUAUUUUGUUUAAGUUGUGUUUGUAUAAAGCGAGAAAGAGAGAAAGGCAAAAGAGAACUGGGCAGGGAAAUAUUUGUAUUGUAUAAUUAUAAGUGUAUAGGAUGAAAAUAUAUGUAUUUGCAUGUGUAUAUACAAUUUUCUCUCUCUUUAUAUAAACAGAACACAAUUUAUACAUUUCUGUUUGUAUAAAGCGAGAGAGGCGAGGGAGAGGCUAGCGAGCGAGAAUUUCAGGGAGAGAGGCGACUGACCACAGUUUGCUACGGGACACAAUUAAAUCAAACUAUGGUUAUAGCAUUUAAUUUGAAUUAAUAGUUUGUCAUUAUAUACAAUUUCCCUUUUAAUAAAGGGCUUAAUGCCUGACUUUUAUUAUUUUUUUAAAAUAAAAAUAAUAAUAAAAGUAAACAAAAAUCGAGUUCUACAAGUGAUACUUCAUAUAGAUUGUGUUAUUUUCACCCUUCAACGUAUCUCAUAGUUACCCAUCUUCGAUACUCGAUAGCACGUUCAAGACUUAACUCUGUUUGCAUUUUAAUAAAGUGCUUAAUGCUUGACUUUUAUUUAUUAUUUUUAAAUAAUUUUUUUUUAUAAAAGUAAGCAAAAAAUCGAGUUCUACAAGUGGUUCUUCAUAUAUAUUGUGUUAUUUUCACUCUCCAAUAUAUCUCAUAUUUACCAUUUUUUAUGCUCGAUAGCACCUAUCUACCCACCAUACCGUCCUUACAUUAUAUAUUAUUUGUUUAAACUAUAUAUAAAUAUUUUUGAGAUGAUAUUUUUUAUUUAUACACCAAACACAAAAUAAUAAAAAAACACAUUUAUCCUUUUAAAUAAUAUUUACGCACAAAAUAGUUCCAUUCAUACCAAACAUACCCUAGAUCAAUUAAUGGAAUUUCCACGACUCUAAUUUAUGGCAGUAAAUGAUGUGAGAUGAGUGGAUAAUAACAAGCCAUCAAGGUGGGAAAAUAAUGACCGCUUCUUGGUCAUACAGUAUGCUAUAUUCUUCGAUUUUCUAGGUGAAGUUAAAGUUGCUCACUCCGUCUCCGUUCCGUUUUAGUUGUUAUGGUAAAGGUUUGAUACAUUUUUAAGAAAAAAAUAAUAAGAAAUGUUUAUUUAAUUAGUAAUAUAUUUCUUAUUAGUUAGUCUUAAUAUGAGAAUAAUUAAUGUUUAAAACAAAAUUAAAGAAAGAUAAUUAAUUUUUGAAUAUACAUGACAAUUAAAAAAGACAAAAAUAGUAUUGGUUAAUUUAUAUAUUUUUAUCUGUUUUCUAACUUUAGUAUUAUUUUUUAAUAUUAUUUUGUUUUGUUCCCUUACUUCUCAUUAUGCCAUCUUUACUUUGUACUAUAGUUUUUUUAUAUUAUUUUUCUAUUUUGCGUAUUUAUGUUAUUAUUCUAACUUUUUAAAAAUUAUAUUCCUAAUUAAAGAAAGGAAAUUUCCGCAAAUAACCACUAUAAUACACUUAAUUAUGCAUCAUAGUUAUAGUUUGCAUAUUUACGAGCUGUAGCUAUAGUUUAAGUUGUCUCGUUUGUAUAAUUUGUGGGUGAGUUUACAUAAUUCGCGGGAACAUUUGUAUAAUUGGGCUAUUUUUUUUAUAUAAACUCAAAAUAACGAAUUUAUACAAACACAAACAUCUGAAUUUUAAAUAAUUAUACAAAUGGAGUAUACAAAAUUACAGUAUACAAAAGUUAUAUAAAUUUCGAAUUAUACAAAUGUGCAAAUUAUACAAAUUCGAAAUCCCAGCCCACGUAAUUAUCACUGAAUAUUGGUUGCGAGAGAUAAUUAACUAACUAAUAUAUGUUUGUUUAAUCAUCUAAUUUUUCCAUUGAAGAAAGAAUGAGUCAUCUAUAAACUUGACGCAUAUUAAUGGGCGACGUCAAAUUCCUUGAUUUAUUAGUCAUUAUUAUUAAUUAUACACACCUAUAUUUACAAGAUUUUAAAAAUAUAUCUAUUUUGUUUUAAAAUAGUUCACUGUGGUAAUAAGACCAUCCUAAGGUAUAAAUUACUUUUUUAUCAAAUAUUUGAACAAUGCUACUCAUAAAUUAUGGUUGUUGUUUUAUUUAAAAACAUAUCUUUGGACUGGUUUUAGAGUCGCCACUUAAUUUUGAAAAAAAUCAAGAAAACUGAUUUUCAAUAGAUUAAAACAAGAAACCAAUUGAUAAUACUUAAGGGGGGUUCAAGGGUUCCUAUUAAUAUUCUAGGAAGGUUUUUAAAGCACCUAGAAUAUCCGCUAAUGCGGUUAUCCGACAACUAAUUUAUUUGGCUAAAAUAAUUUUAACUUAGCUUGACUUGCAAAAUUGAACUAUUUUGUUACUUAGGACCAUUUUAAGGGAGAAAAUGGAAUUAUGAAAUAUUAUCUAAGCGAAAUAUUUGUAAACUUAUUCUUUAAGUUUUGUUAAGAAAUGACCGAUUUAGUUAAAUUGUUAAAUCAAAAUGAAUGUCUCUCGAGAAUUUGAAUUUUUCAACCUUAAGAUUUGCAACAAAUAUUAACAAGCACGCAAACACAAUAAAAUAAAGAGGAAAAGAAACUCGGGCCCAAGUUUGGUUUUUUGUCCGCCUGGACCAAUACUUGGGCCUAUUUCGUUUAUGGGCCUUUGGCCCAUUUAAGUCACCUGCACCUGUCCUGAACAAACAAGUAUAACAAAUAAAUAGGCUUAGGCCCAAAAUAACAAAAUACAAUUCCCAAAAUUAAGAGUGGGCCUUUGGCCCGAUCUUUCAAUUCUCCUCCGCUUUCGCAUUCUACCAACUUCGAGACCUGUUCGUCGAUCCUAUAGCUCGAAAAUGGGGCUAACUCGAUAGGAAACCAAGUCGGAUAUGUAGGAGUGGUGUACAAAAUAGACUCGGGUAAAUGUCACAUGCAUAAAGAAAGGGAUGGUAAGAAUUAGUCAAAGGCAAAUGACAUGGAACAAAUAAUAAAUUAAUGAAAGAACUUUGUCAAAAAUUCAGAAUAUGAAAAUAAAAUAAUCGAUAUGCCGGGGAUAGCUAAGGAAAAUAGAACAAAUUCCAAGGUGAAUGACUAUUUUUAGCAAAUUCUCACGGCGUAUGACUAUUUUAGCAAAUUCGAACAUAAUUAAAUAAAGCACUUUGAUUCUUCUUCCAAAAGACUAUGAGAAUUGACUCCAAAACAGGACAAACUCUAAUUGGUAGCUUGACUUAUAAUUGAAAGCUUGAUUAAUUUGGAAAGAAAUAUUCCUACAAUCAAUUCUCUUUGAAAGUGUUCAUAUUUGUUUGUAAAAAAUUCUAAAAAAAGUUUUUUUUUUUUCUUUUAAGGGAUGAAUUAGUGAGAUUAUCUUUUUAUUCGUGAUUUAUUAAGCACCAUGCAAAACGAAAAGUGAUCAACUAAUAUAAGACUGAGGGAGUAUUAGUUAUGAUAUUAUUUAAUCUUUUAUGUGAUACACAACAAACUAUAGCAUUAGCAAGACAGGGGCAACUAUCACGUGAUAAACAUAAUUAAAGACAAAAUGGUUAUCAAUGCACCCAGUCAAAUAAUUUCAAACAUAACUAACUUCAGUAUUACCAAUACACCUUAUUUAGUAUUAUUCUUAUACUCCACUAAUGAAUAGAACGACCAAAACAUCUAAAAUAAUAAUUAACAGAAUAAUUGUUAAGAUCUAAAUACACCUUAUACAAUAAUAUUAUUAAUAUAGGCUCUGUAAAUAAUCUCAGAGAUAAAAGAUACUCUACUAAUAAAAUAGGACAUACGAAACAUUUAGCAUCAGAAUUCAAAAGAAAUAUACAAGAUACUAUUAUUUUAUUUUAUUUUUAAAUAAAAAAAAAAAUAAAAAAAAAAUAAAGCUUUAUGCAGUGUGUUCAAACAGUUUAAGAAAAUAAGUUAAAUAUGUCAAUUGUAAAAAUAUUAAACUUUAUGCCUAUUUAGGAAAAAUACAUACAAAUACUCAACAAGUAUAGAUUAUUUUAAACAUUUGCAAUAUACAACAAUAAUAACAUUCAAUUAUUCUUCUUAAAUUAAAAUGCAGAUCAUAUAUUUUGAAAGUAUAACGACACAUGUUGAAGUUUCUUAUUAAAUUGAAAUAUUUAUUUACAUUGACAAUUUCAUUAUGCUAUUAUAAUCAAGAAAAAUCUUAGACAUGAAAAUAAAAUAAAAUACCCAAACACUAAUCUACUCAAAUUUUUUGUUUAUUUAUUAUUUUAUUUUUAUUUAAAAAGAAAAAAGAGAAUACACUUUCUUGAAGACAACCUUAAAAACCAAUGAUGUAAGUCAAACAAAUAAGUAAAAUGUGGCAUCAAGAGAUUUCCAAUAAGGCGAAAUCAACUGCAUGAAGGCUAUACAGACAUACGACCUAUAAUCAGACCUCUAAGCACUAAGGAAACAAGAGAAGUAGUCAUAUUUUGCAUAAAAAGAAAGAAGUCACCAUAAAGAAAACAAAGAACGAGUUACAUUCACCGGGCAGACAGAAAACUACGAGUAUGAGGAGCAAUCAAAGCAUUGACCACGGAAAGCAAGUCAUCAAAUCGAUUCCGAACGUCAUAGAGCGAACACGACUCAACAUUUGAAGGGAGUAAUAUCGAUAUUCUGCUCAUAUUUAGGCAUAUACCAAGAGACAUGAACAUUUCUAACAGAGAAUGAGAUCUUUAAAAAAAAACUACUUGUGUGAGAUCAUAAUAGACAUACAAAGAUCGAGAAAAAAAAAGGUAGCUAUAAACAAAGCAAAUACGAGAUUCUCACCUCCUUUUGGGCAGCGAAAUGGAGACCAAACGAGAAGGUGACGACUUCCGAUUCUCAAUACAAAGCUACAACGAAAAGUUCCGGUGAAAGCUUCAAAGAAAAAACUCUGAAUUUGAGACUUGGAUCUUUGACUAUUUUUAUGACUCUCUCUUUUAAAAAUAAAAUGAAAUAAAAUAAAUAAAGACAAAAUAUAUGUUUCUAUAUUUCUCCCCCGUAUCCAAUUUCCCCUUCACUCUUUCUCAAUCUUUUCUUCUAACCCAAAAUUUUCAACUCCCAAAAAAAAAAAUCCCCCUCCCCCCAGUGAACAGAAGCAAAUAUAUAGCCAGGAACUAGGGUUCGGAAAUUUUAGGGGGGAAAAGGGAUCAAAAAUCCGAAUAGAAAAGGCCCAUCUCGAAAUUCAAAUUCGAAAAAUCUUUCACCAUUUUGGCUAAACAUACUUUUUCUCACAUUUCGUCCCAUUCCGGAAGGGGAAAAGGGGAUAGAUGGACUCGAUCCGUUCAAUCGUCCCGGACGAGCAACGUGGAGCGAUCUCACGCCAGGAGGACGAUUCACGUUGCUGCUACUGAUGCUUUUUGCCGCAAAACUCGGCUAGAAACAGUACUAUCGAGAGGGAUGGGAGGAAGAAGACAAAGGAGAUGCAGUACUACCCUCUGUUGCUGCUUUUCGUUUGCUUUACUGUUUAUCUUCCUUUGGAGUCGUUUGAAAAUUAAUGUUUUUGUUGCUUUCCGCGUGUGUUGCCGCUUUGAACAUUGGAGUUGUUGACGUUUUGUUGGGAAUUGUAAGGGAAAGGGGAUGGGGUCAGCUGGUACUGCUUGUUGUAUGUAUGUAUUGUAUUGUUAUAUGUAAUGUGGGUUGGGGAAAUGGGUCGGGUAGAGGGAUUAUUUAGAAAGGAAAUGGGCUGGCAAUUAAGGGAGAUGGGCCUGUUGGUGCUGCUGUACAUGCAUGCUGGAAAUAGUAUUGGGCUGCUGAAAAGUGGCCCAAACUUUGGUCUUAAAAUGGUUUUAAGGUGAGGUUAAAGAUGGGUUCGAUCUUGGAGUUUAAGAAAUAGCCGAAUUGAGUUAAAUUAACAAAUUCGGCUAAAUCCUAAGUAAGAUGGAUUAACAUUAAUUAAUUAACGAGCUUCUAAAUUUUAAUGAAAUAGAAUAAUUAAUUUAAUUGCAAACCAAUAAUUUAAAAUUAUAACCAUAACUUGAACUAGACUAAUUUUGUAAAAUAUUUAAAAUAACAUUUUUUUUUGUGAGACGAUUUUCGAGUAUCCAUAAAAUAUACUAAUUAUAUAUAAAAUUACAUGAAAUAUAUUUAUCAUUCAAAGUACUAUAAAAAUCGACUGAAAUUAUUUAAAAUAACCUUGAAACUAUUUUGAAUUAUAUAAAGCUAAUUAUUCUAAGUCGUUUGAAAAAUUAAGAAGCUAGAAAAUCAAUUACUAUCGGGGAGGGUCAAAAUUGGGUGUCAACAGUUGUCAAUAUUAUUAUUAUUAUUAUUGCCAAACAUGUCAUCCAUGAUAUUUUGCUAAAUCUUUGCUCAGUUAAAAUAUUUUUUAAUCAAUUCAACUAAGCCAGUAUCAUUUAUUUUAAAACUAUAUCUUAGUUAUUAAUUUUACAAAUUGUUAAAAAUCUGUAAUUAUUCUGAAUUUCAGCUUACCCGACUCAAUAAAUAGAGGCAAAAAUGCAUUUCCAUUACUAUUGAAAAAUUACACCACUUUUACAAGUUCAAUAAGUACUAGCAAAUUAGUCCAACAAAAAAAAAAAUCAUUGAUAAAUCAAUCACAAGAACCCCUAACUAAUUGGGUCCGAACAAAUAGCAAAGUAAAUAAGAAAAUCCAUUAAGUAAAAACAUACAUGCAUCCAGUGUUUACACCAGGUCUAUAAAUGAAUGAUAUACAUUUGCAUAUACAUAGAGAGAGAGAUGUAUGGAUGUUUUAUCGAGGAUGCAGCUCAGUUAUCAAAUCCUGAUUUCCUGAAGAACAUAUUGAUUUACUUUCCGUUAGUUUGCUUGACGCGGAAAUUGUUGAAUUGACAUCUCCAAAGUGUAAAAUCUGUGGGUUUACAUCGUUGUGUGGAACUGGAAGACUCAAAGAGCGACUACUGAGCAUGAGAAGUACUUCACCCAUGUUUGGUCUAUUAGCAACAUUUUCUUGAACGCACAAUAAAGCAAUGUGGAUGUAUCUCACUAUGUCACCAACAGGUCCCGAGCUUCCCCUCAGCAUAGGGUCUAUCAAAUUUGAAACUGUUUCUUCGCGCCAGUUCAACCAAGCCUGUGAUAGAUGAGGCCACACAAAAUCAUUAAUUAUACUAUCUCUGAUUCACAUUAUGCGUUCCUCUUGAGAAAGACAUUUGAUGGCAUUGUUUAUACAAAGUGUUUGUCUAAAAUUAAAACAAAAAUUGCCUGACUUCUCUAACAAGGUAGUGUACAUUUAGUUAGGCACAAUUGGAGAAAGAUUUGAUGCGUAAACUUUUCUUAUGAUGAAGGGGUGUAUGAAAGGAAUUAAUUCGUCAUAAGUUGGGAGAGGGGACAAAAAUAUGUAUUAAGCCAAAGUUAUAUGACUAUUCAUCUCGACUUAUACUACUUUUAGGGACAAUCAAGUUAGCUCAACCAAAUUGAGGUAACCAUUUCUCAAGUCCUGGUAACAUUUCAAGGAAAGAUUUGUUUUAAUAUCGAGGUUUUUAUUUUCUAAAAAUGAUUAAAGAAUGCUUCGUAUAAUGAUACAAAAAAUAACAGUCUAUCUAGUGAGAGAUGUUAAACUUACUAAGUCCCAACAAUUCUGUUUGUGUUGCCUUGUGUUUCAUCCAAUGUAAAUAGUCUUGCCAUGCCAAAGUCUGCAAUUUUAGGAUUCAUCUCUGCAUCAAGUAGAACAUUACCAGCUUUGAGAUCGCGAUGAAUGAUGCGAAGUCUAGAAUCCUCAUGAAAAGAAAAACACACAGAACUAUCCGAGUCCACAGAACCCACUGUGUGUCCUUAAGAAAUUUAAUCCCCUCAAGUACCCGAGGUUGCAGAUUAAUUCCUCCCAAGAUAAAACGGAUUAACCAUUAAAGAAGUAGCGGUACCUCAAACUUCAAUAAUUUCAACGAACUCAAAAUGACACUUUCCCAAUUCAUAGUUGUGGACUUAGUUUUCCGGAAUUAAAAUAAGGCAGAUAACCAUACUACAGUCAACAUGUCAAAUUACACUGACAAAAACAUUAAGCAAUACAUACCAAAUAAAAAUUAGGUCAAGGCUUGCAUUGGGAACAAAUUCAUAGACAAGAAGUCUCUCUGUUCCAUCUAGGCAAAAUCCCAGUAAUCUAACCAAAUUCCUGUGCUGAAGCCUGGCUACCAACAAGACCUCGUUUUUGAACUCUAGAUCACCUUGGCCUGAAUCUGCUGACAAUCUUUUCACUGCUACUUCUUGUCCAUUUUGAAGCUUACCCUGAAACAUAAUACGAGAGCAAAUUGAAGAAUCAAUUAUUAUAAGCUCAUCAACAACGAAUCCUCAACCCCAAGCUAAGUUGUGGUUUUGUGGUAUGAAUUGUCAAUGUCCAUUUUAUGCAUCAAGCAAGUCUAAUCACCUUAUACACAGGACCAAAUCCACCCUGUCCCAAUUUAUUAGCAUUUGAGAAGUUGUCUGUUGCUUCUCUAAUUAUAGAAAAAUCAUACUGCAAGGAUUCUACAUCGCUAAUAUCAUCCCCGAGUGUACCUUCACCAAAGUAGUAGUAAUAACAAAUACAGUAUAUAGUGAAGCAUGUUCUUAAGAAAAUUCAACUUUCCUUAAAUCAUAGAAAUACAAUACGUUAUCUUACCUUGAAUUUUAUCCACUUCCUCUUUCGCUUCUUCGUUAAGAUGACAGAAAUACAUACAAUAAGAAUAACAACUGUAACAGUAGGCACAAUGAUAAUGAUGAUGAGUGAAUCUUUUGUAUCAUCCUUCACUAUCGGAACUGUUUUAGUAUCAUUCCCCGUUGGAGCUGUUUUAUCAUCAUUUCCUUAAAAAAAAUGCUUCAAGUUAGUAUAAUAUUCUCAGUUUUAACUAGUAAAAUUUUGUGUUAUGAUGGUGGCGAUGAACUGUGUGAUAUUCUCAUCUAAAAUUUUAAGUUGUUAGACGACAUAUCAUAUAUUUAACCAUCUUGUUAUAGGUUAUAUUAAAUUAAAUUAAAUUGUUAAAUAAGGUAAUUAAACUUAUACUAGUAUCUACUUAGGUACAGUACAUAUGUCUUCAAAUCAAAGUGGAAAGAUGUAAUUUACGUGCACAGGGUCGACUCAACAAGAUCGGGAGCCUAAAACAAAACUUAAGGAAGGGGCCCUAAUAUAUAUUUUUUCACCAUGUAUAGUUUUAUUUAAAAUCUACUUUUCUAGCUUGAUUUUUUAGAUGUGAAAUCAUUAGUUACUAUUUUAUAAUUGAUUUGUUUUAAUAAUUCUCUUUCAAUUGAUAAUAUAGACAAUCGAUUCAUUCUCUCUUGAGAAAUUGUUGACCUUAGAUUUAAUCAAUUUUAGUUUCGAAAAACCUCUUUCGGCCGAGGCAACGGUUAGAAAACUGUUAACAUUAUUCUAUAAGUUAUAUAUGUGUAUUUGGAAAAGAAUCAAGUUUUUUAUUUAAUUGAAUGUUUUCAUUAGAUCAUUAUCUUCUACUUACAUUAUUUCUCAUUAUCUAGUGAUCUCAAUUUACCACUAAAUAAGAAACAAAAAAUAUUUUCAUAUGCUUCAAUUGGUUCAAAACUAUUUUGAAGUAAAAAAAAUUGCUUGAUCUACUACACAUACACACACACUAUAUAUAUAUAUAUAUAUAUAUAUAUAUAUAUAUAUUGUGAUUUCAUUAUCAAUAUUUUCUAUAAAAAUUUUCUUACUAAAUUCAGGUUCUAUAUUUAUUUCAUAUGUAAUUUCUUUAAUAGAAAUCAUAACAUUCACGAUACAUAUAAUUAUUUUUAUAAAAAUAACAUUUAUAAGUAAGUUUUUAAAAUAAAUGGGGCCCCACCAAAAUAUGAGAUGCCAAGCAAUGACUUUAAUGGCUUAGGGUUAAGACGGUACCUGCAGGUGGGAGUGGCACAUCGAAGAAUUUGGAACUUUCAUAACGGAGAUUGCACCUAGACACAAUGAUUCUGCCACCGCUCUUGCCGUAGCAGGGACAUUUAGGCAUAUUUUCAUAAGCCACAGUUCAGCAUUUGAGGCAAUUCUGAGGAGAUAAAUCAGGAGUACACUGCACAAGUGCAUAUAUAGACUGAAAAUCUGGACCUGUCGCAUUACCAGUAGCAUAUUUUAGUGAGGAACCACCUUCUACAGCACGAUCUCGUAAAUUUUCCUGUAAUUUACUCCGUUCCUGUUUAAAUUCCUCGGGUUUUGUGGCAUUAGCAGGAUUCCAAAAGUAAUAUUGAAGAGAAAAUGAUGUAGUUUCUAAAAUGGAUGAAUCAUUCGAGUACUGCAACGAACAUUCAUCAUAGCCACCAAUAGCUCUUUUUUGGGUAGGAAAUAACUGUACAAGUUUUUGAGCAAUGUUAUAGACACAAUUGCGACAUUGUUCUAGCUCCACAUCUCCUUUACAGAGCACAAUACCACUGACCUUGUCGGUGCUUUGGCCAUCGGAAGCAUAGCUGAAACUAUGGUUAUCAAUUUUUGAGGAAAGGAAAGAGAGGAGUGAGUUAAGAUUAUUCUGGUAUGCACUAUUUUCAGUAUAGUUACCAUUGGUACCACAUGAACUGUAACGUAAAUCAGGAAGCUGCGACGCCGAUACAAUAUUGAGAACAUGACCGUGUAUAUGCCAAAAAAGAAAGAGUAGCACCUUCUGAAUAGCCAUGGUCAUGGUUGUCUAACUUGCAUUUCCAUUUGUAGAAGCUUAGAUAUUUUGACAUCAAAGGUAAAAUGAGUUGGCUUUUAUUUUUAUUUUUAUUUUUUUAGCUUAAAAAAACAUGCAUCAGGUCAUUAAAUGUAGUUGUACUUAAUACUCUCAGAGGGGUCGUUUGGUGUGAAGGAUUAUACCAAAUAGUCUUGGAUAAAAUUAUAGUGAUGCUUAAUUUGUUGUUUGGUUGACAAGUCCGGGAUAACUUAUCCCGGGAUUAAUAAUUAGUACCGGGAUAAGUUAUCCCUCUCUUUGGAUGGUAUAAUAAUCCCAUCAUAAUUUAUCCUUGGAUAAAUCUAUUAAAUGACAAAAUCACCCUUCAAACCCAUUAUAUCAUCACUAUAUAUAUAUUUGUAAUAAUUGUUCCUACUAGAUUAAACUUCAUGAGUAUAUACUACACUUUGAUGCCCAGUAAGCAACGUAAUUGGUGACUCCAAGUUUGAUGUCCAUGAUUUUUCAUUUGGUCCAUGCAGGGCCGACUCAACAAGAGCGGGGGCUUAAAGUCAAACCUUAAAGAGAGGCUCUAAUAUUUUGAAAAGUAUUUUGUUUCUUCAAUCUCUUUAAUAAUUUUAUUCUUGACUUCACUUGCCAAAUAAGUUUAAUAAUUCACUUUGUAUAUUAUGUCCAAGGUAAUGACUAUAAAUUUCGUCAUGCAUAUUCUUCAAAUAUGUCUUGCAUAACUGGAUCAAAUUUAUUAUUCAUUUCAAUUAGGCUUUUAAAAAUUACCGUUACUUUCUUGAUAGAUCUUUCCAUUUGUUCCCCUAAAUGCUAAAUUAUUUUUCCAAAUAAUUUUGAACACGUCAAUCAUUCUUGACAAUACAUUUUUCAUUGCACUUUAUCGCUAUCAAUUUGUUCCUGCACAACUUUAUCAAUUGUUUUUUUAAUGCAAUCUCAUUUCUAAAUCAAUACACGAGCUCAUAUUAUUAAUAAUAUAUUCAUUCUUUACUUCAUGGACUUUGAGCUUAAUACUAAGAUUUCUCCAAUCAUUACUACCUUCAGCUAGAUACUAUUACAAAUAAUAGAAGUUUUGCUAAAUAAUUACAACAAAACAAAAAAAUUAUCCAAAUCUUUAGAGUAGAUUAAUCAUUUUCUUUCUUGCUUUUCUCCGUUUACCAAUUUUUGAAUAUAGUGUGUUGUAGAAAAAUGUCGUACGUAUUUAUCUUGUAGAAAUUUUAUAUCAGCCAUUCUAAAUGGUCCUUUUUCUACUAAUAGAUCUCUGAAUUUCGUAUCUACAUUAUUUCAUUGACUUGGAUCAUAUAUAUUUUUAGGGAUGGCAACUAUUUAAAUUAUUUAGGAGUUCUUGAUAUCGGGAACAAUUAAAUUAGGUCUUUAGGCCUAAACUCACACCCCAAAAGCUAGCUCAAAGGGAGGAGGAUUGUCCAAACCUUAUAAGUAGUCCACUCAUUUCAUUAACCACCGAUGUGGGACUUUUGUCAUUCUUUAACAUAGAAAAAUGUCGUACGUAUUUAUCUUGUAGAAAUUUUAUAUCAGCCAUUCUAAAUGGUCCUUUUUCUACUAAUAGAUCUCUGAAUUUCGUAUCUACAUUAUUUCAUUGACUUGGAUCAUAUAUAUUUUUAGGGAUGCAACUAUUUAAAUUAUUUAGGAGUUCUUGAUAUCGGGAACAAUUAAAUUAGGUCUUAGGCCUAACUCACACCCCAAAAGCUAGCUCAAAGGGAGGAGGAUUGCUCAAACCUUAUAAGUAGUCCACCCAUCUCAUUAACCACUGAUGUGAGACUUUUGUCAUUCUUUAACACCCACCUCACGCCCAGUGCUUAGCAUCUGGUGCGUGGGCAAUCAAUUUGGUAAAAUCUUUUUACUUUUCCUUUUUAGUCUAAAAAUAUUUUAUAGUAUUUAAUUUCCUUUCAAGUCUAGGGUUUACAUUAAUUGCAAAAUAUUUAGUUUUAUUUUAGUUUAGUAUCUAGAAGGAUUCUCCUUAAUUAUUUAUAAAUAGGGAUGUACUCUUCUAUUUGAAUAAAAAAAAAAGGCAAGAAUCAAUACAAAGAGUUAUCAUUCAUUCUCUCUUUAAUUUCUCUUUCUAGUUUCUUUCAUUCUAUAACAGUGGUAUCAGAGUCUUACAUUGAUCGUAAUGGAUCUGUGAGUUCGUUGAAGAAGAACUUUCAACCACUUUUAAUUCAUAUCUAUUUUCAACCCACUUUUAACCCGUGCUUUUAUUUUUAACGCAGGGCUACUUUUAACCAAUUUUUAAUCUAUAUUAUUUUAAACCUUAUUUUUCAAACCAUGACAAGCAAUACUCUUUCUUUCAAUGCCCCACAAACCUUCAAUGGUGAAAAUUAUCAAAUUUGGGCAGUUAAGAUGAAGUCUUAUCUUGAGGCUUAUGAUUUGUGGGAAACUGUAAUGGAAGAAAAACUCAUGGAAAACACAUUUGGAAAAAUUCUGUUGGUGGAGAUCUGAUGCAGUAUGCGGAAGUUGCAAACAAACAGGUCAUGUUACAAAAGUGUGCAAGUUCAAAGACACUCAAGAUAAAUCACAAGCAUUACUAGUAGAAGAAGAAUGUAAGGAUGAAUUUUAUUAGAAGAUAUUUUUGAAGAAUAAUUAUGUGUUCAAACUCAAGUUAGAUAUACCAACUUGAGUUUGAGGGGGAAUGUUGAAAUUUGGUAGAAUCUUUUUACUUUUCCUUUUUAGUCUAAAAAUAUUUUAUAGUAUUUAAUUUCCUUUCAAGUCUAGGGUUUACAUUAAUUGCAAAAUAUUUAGUUUUAUUUUAGUUUAGUAUCUAGAAGGAUUCUCCUUAAUUAUUUAUAAAUAGGGAUGUACUCUUCUAUUUGAAUAAUAAAAAAAAAAGCAAGAAUCAAUACAAAGAGUUAUCAUUCAUUCUCUCUUUAAUUUCUCUUUCUAAUUUCUUCCAUUCUAUAACAGGAACAAUGUCACAUUUUCACCAACUUCUUCUAGAUUUUAUUCUUGGAUAUUAUUAUCAUCUAAAUCAAUUCUAAUGGUGACUUGUUCAUUUGAAGAACAUCCUCCAAUUAUUUUUUUAUUCGAAAUAUUUUUUAUUUGGUAAAAAUCUCUCAAGCAAUAUCUUUUAAGAUUUAUUUAAUUUCUUCAAUAAUAAUUUUCUCUCUUUUUGCAAACUCGGAAUCAUGUUUCUAGUUGACAUAUUAAAAUUGAAUAAAUUUUAAGAACAAUUAAAACAAUUUACAUAUACUUAAGAAUAUCAACAAUAAUUUUUUCUCAAGAAAAACAAUAAAACCUCUUACACGUUUUUUUCUUCAAAAAAUUAAUAUAAUUUUUUAAUAAUAUGUAUAUGUACUUUUUUUAUAAAAUGGAGGCCCCAAAAAUUAUGAGGCCCCAAGCGAUAGCUUUAGUGGCCUAGUGGUUAAGACGGCCCUGGGUCCAAGCCGUUGGGACACCAAAGUGUAGUUCAAAUAUGAAAAUGAUGAGAAUUCAUACAUAAAACUCAUACUAAUUAAUGUGGUUUGGUCACAUCUCAAUUAAUUUCUGCUGUCACAACAAAUUAUUUGUAUCAUAAUUAAUUAAUUUCUAAUCUAAACAAUUUGAUACUAAUACAACUUAAUUAAACUUGAAAAACUUAAUUAGGUUUGGUUUUUAGAGUGGACUACUGACGUCUCCAAAAUUGGUACAUAGUUGAACACAAAAAAAUCAUAAGAACACAUACAUAAAAAAGUUAAGCUAAAUAAGGUGGAUAAUUUGUUUUUAAGAUUGAAAUAUUUUUUCUGAAAGUUUUAAUAUGACCACACGGGUCAGACUUUUAUUGACUUAACAAAAACAACUACAACCCAAUUCCUACGAAGCUAACAGUAAACAAAAAACAAAUAAAUUUGAAAUAUCUGGGAAGUUAACUAAAGCUCUAUCAAAAAAAUAUACAAAUAGUUAAAUAAGGUAGAGGGUAUUUUUGUAAACAAACAACUUAAUUUAGAAAGUAUCCAAUGAAUAUUAUUUUUAAUACUACAAACCAAACAAUCAAUAAAAAAUAAUACGAGGAUAACAAAUCUCAUCAUAACUAAUCACAGCAUAACUUAUCUCAGCAUAACUUGUAUUCAAACCAAACGACCCCUCUCUAUAUAACAAUAGUUAUCCACUAUUAAUUUAGAAUAGAGAUUAAAAAAUAGUAAAUGAUAGAUAUAAUUUUACCAAAUUAUCCUUAUUAAAUACUUUUAUAAUUACUUGUCCAUUUUUGAAGUGAUACACUUACUAAGAAAACAAUUACUGACAUAGUGAGUUUAUCAUUUUACCCCUAUUUAUUAUGAAGUGGAUGGAUUAAAAAAUUAAGAUUUUCAAGAAAUUUUACCUUUUUCAAAUUAAUUAAUUGAGGAUAUAAUAGGUAAAAUUAUUUUGUCAUUUCUUAAUUUGUCAAAAUAGACAAAUAAUUAGGGACAAGUAUAAAAGAAAAAAUGGACAAAUAAUUAGGGACAUAGAGAGUAUAAGUCUUUUAAACAUUGAAAAAUGAACAUUUAAAAAUAAGUAUAAAAUAGACAUAAAAUAAUAAAUCAUUCAUUAAUUUUAUAAACUAAACCAGAAUUAUCAGACAUAAAUCACUUUGUGGCUUAAGUGACCUUUUGAGUGAAUUGACCUAGUAAGAGAUAAAAUUUUGAUGACUUGGUCUAUAUCUUUGGAUUUGCCAAAUUUUUCUCCUUAGAAAAUAUGAAAUUCGUAGACUCUAAUUUAUGGGGAUAAUGGGAAUUGGGACAGGAGUGGAUACCAAGAAGCCACCAAGGUUGCAAAUUUUGACCGCUACUUGCUCAUCAACUUUAUAUGAUUACUCCAGAAAAUGAAAUCCAACUAAUUUUCUACAAGUACCAUAUUUUCGUUUUUUUUUCCUAGUGUUUUAAAUUUUAAUCCACAAUGAUUUCUUUAGAAUUUUGGGGAACUAUUCUCUGUUCUUAAUUACUUGUUUAUUUUUAAAUUGACACACUUAUUAAGAAAAUAAAAAUUGACAUAGUGAGUUCACAAUUUUACCCCUAUUAAUUAUGAAGUGGAUGAAUUAAAAACUUCAGAUUUUCAAGAAGUUCUAUCUUUUUCAAAUUAAUUAAUUGAUUGUAUAAUAAGGUAAAAAAAAAUGUUAUUUCUUGAUUUGUCAAAACUGAAAGUAAUUAAGGAUAACUAUAAAAAAAAAAAGGAUAAGUAAGUAGGAUCAGAGGGAGUAUGUCCUUAUAUCUUCUCUGUUGCUCUUCAGAUCAUACACUUAAAUAUUUGUGAAAUUUCCAACAAAGCGGUGUCAUCAUCAACUUGGGAAGAAUUUUUUUUUGAAAGAUCCUAAAAAGGGAUCAAAGAAAAAAGAGUCAAACUUUUGACUUGGUCUACAUCUCAAAAGUUGACAAAUUGAAUCCCCAAAGUCAACAAGUCUAAUUUAUGGGGGUGAUGGGACAGGAGAGUAUAAGAACAAGCUACCGAGGUGGAAACGUUUCUAAUUACAGACUAUUCUGUCCGUUUCAUAAUAGUUGGCUAUCUUAUUAAAAUAUAUUUAUUUUGAAUUAUGUGUCUAUUUAUUAAAUUAAAAUAAAAUUAAUUUUAAAAAAUUCAUUCUACCCCUAUUAUUAGUACUUUUUGAAAGCCUAAAUAAAUUUAGAAUUUUUUUAAAAAAUAAUCAAGAGUUCCUUAUUUUGUAUCUAUUCUAAUGAUAUAUAUUUAUGUGCCCUAUCUUAUUUAUUAAAUAUAUUUUUCAUGAAUUAUCGUAAUGUACAUUAAUAAAAAUAAAGAAAAAAUUAAUUAUCUGAUAUGUAAGUUCUCAAACACCACAUAAAAUAAAGACUUAAGUCAUACGGAGGAGCCCCUUAAAGUUAUUUGCAUAUUUCACUUGAACACUUCAAUUAAGACUUGUAUGAUUGAAUACUUUUAUUAUUCAAAAUAAGCAUCUAUUAGACAUUUUUCGUUGACAUAUCAAAGAAUGUGCAAUACACAUUUAGUGAGUGUGUGGAGGGAUAUUUUAGCUUCUUCUUUUUUUAUCUCUUUCUUCUUCUUUCUUUGUCUCUUUCUUCUUCUUUUUUUCAUAGCCAUAACUCUUCCAACACCACCACCACCAUCCCGCCAUUGCCGCCGCCUCCCCCCACCAUCAUCUACCCUUUUCUUCUCUCUUUUCUUCACCCACCUCUCCCUCUCCCUUACCAUUGUCGAUUUCAUCUGGAGAACACCAUUACAUUUCCUCCUCCAUUUUCUUAAAAUUUGGCAGUCAUUAUCAUCUUAUUCACCGGAAGAAAAAUGGAUACCCACACUAUCACUACUCUAUUCCUCCCUCCCUUUGUUCUUCCUGAAAAAUAAAUAUCUAAACCCAAAUGUAUCAUAUUUUUAAAAAAAUCAGAUCUGGAAAAAUUAAUAGUUGAAUUAAGAGGAACGACGACGCCGAUGACGGUGAGUGGACGGUGAUAGUUUGAAUAAAGGAGCUGCACAUUUUUUCUUCACCCCUUGACCUUUAUGAAGUUUUGAACCUGCUCAAUGAUUAGUUAAUUAUAAAUCUCUCUAUACUCCAUUAAUAUAAGAUUGAAGUUGUGAACGAGUAAAAUUCUUUAGCUCAACACAGUUAAAGACGAAACAUAGUGAAUGAAUUGAAGGUCAUUCAUGGUUUCAAAAUAGAUGUUUUUUUUUCCUCAAAAUUCCAUAUGUAUGUCGUUAAUUCGUUAAUUUGUCAUGUCACCGCGAGUGUAUUACACAUAUAACACUUUUAACUGAUGGUCAAAAAAGUGUUCAAAUGGGUAAAAAUGUUCAAUAGGUACCAACCUUAAUUGUGGUGUUCAAAUGAAAUAUGCAAACAACUUUAAGAUGCUCUGUAUGACCUAAGCCUAAAAUAAAAGAUAAUCAAUCAAUAUGAAACGGAAUGAGUAAAAUAUUUUAUGAUUCCAGAAUAUGAAAAGUUAUUUUGGCUCUUGAAAUAGUAUAUAGUUGUACGUAAUGAGUUCCUAGAAAUGGGGACUUUUUCCUUUCCUCUUGUUUUCUUUUUCCUUUUGCCCGUCCAUAAAGUUGAAAAGACGUGUGAGAUGCCCAUAUGAUGCUAUCUUACAAACCAAGCCAGUUAAAAUGAAUAUGGAUGUAUUUAGCUCAAGUUAAAUACUCCGGAUCCUUAAUUAUUUGUCCAUUUUCAAAUUGAUACACUUACUAAGAAAAUAAUAAUUGACAUAGUGAGUUUACCAGUUUAACCCUAUUAAUUAUGAAAUAGAUGAAUUAAAAACUUAACAUUUUCAAAAAGUUCUACCUUUUUCAAAGUAAUUAAUUGAGGGUAUAAUAGGUAAAAAAAAAUUGUCCUUACUUGAAUUAUCAAAAUAGACAAGUAAUUAUGGACAAUUAUAAAAGGAAAAAUGGACAAGUAAUUGAGAAAAAGGGAGUAUAACUAUUUUAAAAGGCUUAAGUCAUAUGCGGCCCCUUAAACUUGUCUGUAUAUUUCAGUUAGACACCUUAACUUAGACUUGUACCUAUUGAACACUUUAAUCUUAACAAAUUUAUACUUAUUUAACACAAAAUGAAAAUCAGUUGAAAAAUAAAAGUGGUGUGUCUCAAACACAAAUACAUAGCCGAUGGACCAAUGACGUGAUGACAUGUGGUAAUUGAAUCCAAUUUUUUUAAUCUCUAAUUAAAUCAUUCAAAAAAAAAUAAAAAAAAAUAUUUUUAAUCAACCCACCCCCAACCCCAUCUUCUCCUUCUUUUCACCCUUCCACUGGUGGAAACAGGCCGCCAACCAUACUCUCACCUUUUUAUUCUUUAACAUUGAACCUUACCAUCCAUUGCCUUUAUUUUCUUCCCAUUAAUAAUAUAAGUUAUUAUCAUAAUUAUAUAAAAAUAAUAACAAAUUUUGCCGAAAAAAAUAAUCAAUUCAUAUAUUUUUUAUCAGAAAAAAUGAAGUUUUGUUAGAAUAUUUGAGAUUUAGAUCUUUAUAAUAAUGUAUGUACAAUUUUGUUGCUUUAUUGUGGGUUUCGUUGCGCUAAAAAGUAAAAAAUUAUAAUGCAUACUCAGCAUUAACAAAUGCCCAGCAUAGGGUAAAUUUUCCAAAUUUAGUUUUUCUGUUGUCUUCAACUUUAAACUGAUUUAUAUUAUGAUUUUUAUAAAAUUUAAAAAAAAAAAAAGAGCGAAAGAAGGAGGAGAACAAUGGUUGCAGAGGAACAUUCACUACAAGAGAAGUGUGAAUUACAUGGGAUUUUCCUGGAGAUUAGUAUGAAAAUUUGCAGGAUAAUAAGUUUCCUACAAAUUUUCAUACUAAUCCACAGAAAAAUUCUCAUGUAAUUCACAAUUUUCUUAUAGUGGUUGUGGGAAGAAGACAUGCUUUCUAUUAUUUAGUUUUUUUUAAAAAAAUUUAAGUGUAUAAAUGAGAAAAUAAAAAAGGAAAAAUACUAUUUUUAGUUGCUUUACGCGCUCAAAGAGCGUGGAACACACUUUUUUUGCCAUGUCAGCAUUUUGUGUCAAAUAGGAAUGGUUUUUGAACAAAAAAAGUGUUCAAUAGGUACAAGCCCUAGUUAAAGUGUCAAAGUGAAAUAUGUGGACAACUUUAAGAGGCCGUCGAUGACUUAAACCAUUUUAAAACUAUGCAUUCGUAAUAAAAUGAGUGUUACUUUUACAUAUAAACAUUACAAUAAUUGCUAGCUAGACUACAAGUCCAAGGCACGCACUAAAAGUGGUACCAACACGUAAAAUAAGUAAACUCGGAGAAAAAAGCUACAAAUAUUUGAUUUGACUUGGUCUACAUCUAAGAAGUUGACAAAUUGAAUCAUCAAAGUCAACAAGUCUAAUUUAUGGGGAUGAUGGGACAGGAGAGUAUAAGAACAAGCUACCGAGGUGCAAAAUUAAUUUGUACUUGCUUUUACUUGAACGUUUCUAAUUACAUACAUACUUUUCCAUCCCUACUAUAAUAUAUACGAGUAGUUGGCUAUCUUAAUAAAAUUAUAUGUUCCGAAUUAUUUGUCUACUUAUUUAAUUAAAUUUAAAAAAAUUCAUUUUACUCCUAUUAUGAAUACUUUUUGAAUAUCUUAAUGUACAUCAAUAUAAAUAAAGAAUGAAUUAGAGAAAUUAAUUAUUUGAUAUAUAAUUUCUUAAAUAUCAUAUAAAAUAAAAGAUAAUCAAUUAAUAUGAAACUAAAUAAGUAACAUUUUAUAUGAUUUUAGUAAAUGAAAAGUUAUUUGGCUCUUCAAAUAGUAUAAAGUGGUAUGGAAGAAGUUCCUAGAAAUUGAGACUAUUUCCUUUCCUCUUGUUUUCUUAGUUAAAUAACUACUCAUUUUAAAACUAUGCAUUGUAUUAAAAAGAGUGCUACUAUUACAUAUAAACUUUAUAAUAAUUAUUGUUAGCUAGACUACACGUACACUAAAAGUGGUACCAACACAUAAAAUAAGUAAACUCAGAGAAAAAGGUUAUCAUACUAAGGAGUCGUUUGGUAGAGUGUGUAAGAAUAAUGCUGAAUAUGAUGUAUUAGUAAUGCAUGCAUUAGUAAUGCUUGCAUUAGUUAUGCUUGCAUUAUUUCUUAUACAUUGUUUGGUUUGAUGUAUUGGAAAUAGCAAGCCUUGUAUAAAGACUAUUAAAAAAUAUUUGUUUACAAAAAUACCCCC
Molecule: long non-coding RNA, 27354 nt
Filed under: Solanum tuberosum (potato)
Lineage: Eukaryota; Viridiplantae; Streptophyta; Magnoliopsida; Solanales; Solanaceae
Description: long non-coding RNA (STUB_LNC003065)
Source: RNAcentral